GUCCAAAUGGCUGCUGCGCAAUCCUGUGUCCACAAGUAGUAUAUUUGUAUUUAAACGUUUGGAUUUUGUUUAGAUCGUUUGCUUAAGGUGACCAAAAGGCUUCAGCAGAACCAAAGCUGGUGUUUGAAGAAGAAAGGAGUCCUAUGCUGUUGCUCCACAUAGUCUUACAUUGGAUGAGAUGUCUUGGUUGUCCUCUGAUCGCCCCGUCAUCAAAAAUGGCCAGAUUGACUGGGUGCGCAAAGCGACUCUCGAACCGGUCAUCCUGCAGAAGCUGUCUCAGAGGGAUUGGGUUUCUGCAGAUGGAGCAGCCUUUCACACGCAGCCUGCGUGCACCAGCCCCAGCUGUUAUCGGUUCCCAUGACAUCUGGAGCGUUGGCAUGACAAGGGUGUGGCAGAAGAGAAGAGGCACCAUCUUCAUUCCCAUGUGUGAAGGAAAAACUACAGUGGCUACGUCUGGACCCAUCGUUUAGUUUGUCUGUUCCGGGCUUGGAAAUCUGUGGAAGAGGGGCCUUCAUCAGUGGAACCCACCGAGACACACUGUGUCCUCGUGGUUUAGCCUGACUCAAGCUCGGCCACAUGGCGCCCCUGACGUUCACAGGACCAUCCUGCUCGUCGGC
This is a long non-coding RNA of Larimichthys crocea (large yellow croaker), 617 nucleotides long. RefSeq lists it as uncharacterized. NCBI's taxonomy places the organism in Eukaryota, Metazoa, Chordata, Actinopteri, Sciaenidae. The record is from RefSeq and is a predicted model, not a curated record. The transcript has 6 exons.